UGGACAGGAAGCUCAGGAAAUGCUUGAUAAAGGAGUGAGUGCCGGCUGCCGCAGGGCCUCCCUCCCCCACCCCCUCCGUGGUCGGUGUGUUCUGAACCCCGUGGUGGCCCCCGCUUUGGGCGUGCACUCGGCGGAAAGGACACGGGCGUUCUGAUUUUUAGCAAACUCAAGCUGGCGACAAAGGACUUGAGUCCCUGCCUUUAUAACUACCUCUGCGUUCAACAAGGAGAGAACAAGACAAGCCACCUCUCCACAGUGGUCUACAGACACAGAGGACACCGGAUACUGUAUGGAGUUCAAGACAGAGUCACUGACUCAUCACUGCGCUACGGAGAACCGCCCCCUGACCCGAUGGAUGCAGUAUCUCCGAGAGGGGUACACAGUGUGCGUCGAUUGCCAGCCCCCAGCUAUGAACUCGGAGAGCCUUCGCUGUUCCGGAGAUGGCCUGGACUCGGAUGGAAAUCAAACUCUCCACUGGCAAGCAAUUGGCAAUCCUCGAUGUCAAGGAACUUGGAAAAAAGUUCGGCGAGUAGAUCAGUGUUCUUGUCCAGCUGUUCACAGUUUUAUUUUUAUAUAGAUUGUGAUAUAAAUAUUUCAGAAUGUGUUUGUAAACAUGCUAAACAUUACCAAGUCAUGUUCAGUGCUUCAUAAACCUUCAAAAACCAUUUGGCCAGAGUCCCUGAACACAUCAUUGCCACACUCCAAAGUAGAGAAGGAAAAUGCACGGGCCAGUUCUCAAGAUACCCAGUACCUUUGUUUUUAUUUUUACUGCGUUGAGGACCCACCCUAAAGAUUCCUGUGGUUUUGUGUCCUUGGCCUUCUACAGAGUCCUCUCGUUCAAAGGUGGCCCACACAACACAGAAUACAUGUCUGUUUGCACUAAAAUUACUACAAUAUGGUCCGUUUAUUGGUGAGUAGUUGGCAUUUAAGGGUAUCCAUGCUUUGAAUCUUGCAUUCCCUCUUUCUGUUCUGUAAUCUCUUAAAAACUUCUCGCUUUAAAACAUGUAUAGAGAUCUAUGUAUACUCUCACACAUACAUUUCCCAUGUAUUAUUCCAUAAAUUUUGAAAUAAUAAUUUAAAGAAAAUAGUCACAAAUAAUCUUCCACAGGACAAGUUAAGAUUUAGUAAGCGUUUUGUAAUGAAAACCCAACAGCUAUAUUAAAAAUACUUUUUUGAAGAAGAAAUUUUCUUUGGUUAAUUGACAAGACCAAUCAAAUGUUCAUUCUAGGUCAAUACAAGUUCCUUAAAUGCCAUAAUUUUCAUGAAGAGAAUUUUGGCACCAAUGAAUGAAACAAUGCUUUAAUUACGAAAAUUUUAUCAACAUUAGCAUUUAAGAUUACUUCUAGGGCUUAAAACUUGAAGCUGACUAAAAUCAUCUUUCAGAUUUAAGUUUAAACUAGCUUCCGGUUUAAUUGAAGUAAACUUACUACUUUUUGUCUACAGCCUACAUUUUCUUCUGUUUGGGGUGGAAGGCAGUUAUAAAUUACGGAAGACAUAGAUUUUAUUAUAAAUGCGAUGACCUCUCUCACACACACAGAAGUAUUAGUCUUCUUUUAUGAUUGGAGAACCAGUGAGCUAGAGACAAAGUGGCUUAAGGGUGGGUUAUUCUGCAGGUCAGCCACAGAGACCGCUCUCAGUUUCUCAUCCCGGACUCAGCAUUGAUGAAAAGCCUGACUAUGCCAAAGACAGCUGGGAAAGCUAAGCCCUUUUCAAUUCUGAAACAAAUUUUAAAUUUAGGAUAUUUUCUCUGAAGAACUGCAUCUUAAAAUUUAAACUUCUUCGGUUUCAUUUGUAUACAAUAUUAUUCACUAACAAAUGAUUUACUAAAAUACAUAUUUCUUGGUACUUAUCAUGUAAUGACGAGAAUGACAAUAGCAAACUUAAUAGGGCUGGAAAAGUCCCUAAUAUUUAAUGCGGAGAGUAGCAGUAUUUCUGACUAUAAAUUCAUUUAACUGUCAGAGUUGUUUUUAUGGUAAAUUCUUCAGAGAUGAAUAAUAAAAAUUUUGAGUCUCAUCA
Molecule: long non-coding RNA, 2016 nt
Filed under: Ursus maritimus (polar bear)
Lineage: Eukaryota; Metazoa; Chordata; Mammalia; Carnivora; Ursidae
Description: lncRNA (ENSUMAG00000018885.1)
Source: RNAcentral